This 427-nucleotide ribosomal RNA is filed under the name uncultured archaeon. Its description in RNAcentral is "bacterial SSU rRNA". It matches the Rfam family "Archaeal small subunit ribosomal RNA", at positions 474 to 903 of the family's 1478-position model. The record is from RNAcentral.
UACCAGCUCUCCGAGUGGUGUGGAUGUUUAUUGGGCCUAAAGCAUCCGUAGCUGGCUGGGCAAGUCCCCUGUUAAAUCCACCGAUUUAAUCGUUGGUGUGCGGGGGAUACUGUUCGGCUAGGGGACGGGAGAGGCCGACGGUAUUUUCGGGGUAGGGGUGAAAUCCUAUAAUCCCGGGAAGACCACCAGCGGCGAAGGCUGUCGGCUAGAACGCGCCCGACGGUGAGGGAUGAAAGCUGGGGGAGCGAACCGGAUUAGAUGCCCGGGUAGUCCCAGCUGUAAACGAUGCAGGCUAGGUGUUUGGGCGGCCACGUGCCGCUCUAGUGCCGCAGAGAAGUCGUUAAGCCUGCCGCCUGGGGAGUACGGCCGCAAGGCUGAACUUAAAGGAAUUGGCGGGGGGCACCACAAGGGGUGAAGCUUGCGGUUU